This 3086-nucleotide long non-coding RNA is filed under the name Sus scrofa (pig). Its description in RNAcentral is "lncRNA (ENSSSCG00055028478.1)". The record is from RNAcentral. Lineage: Eukaryota; Metazoa; Chordata; Mammalia; Artiodactyla; Suidae.
GGGCGGGCCGGCCGUUCCACCGCCACCGCCGCCCCCGAGCUGGCCUGCGGGAGGCGCUGACGUGAGCUCGCGUGGGCUGCUCAGCUGCCCCGGCCCUGACUUGCAGUCCUGGGACCCCCAGGGGCGGAGGAGAGCGCCGCCUCGGCCGCCGCCCAAGUCGGGGUCGGCACAUGGGGUACCGUGAACAGAGCUCGGAAGCCCCCGUGUUCUACCCACGCGAGGGUGCGGGAGAGCCCCCUUCUUCUGGGGCCUCCCCUCGGCCCCCCGGCUGGACCGUCCGGACGCCUGGGUCAGGAAGCCCCUCUGCACCUGUGCAUCCUGAGUUCGUUUCCGAGAAGGAAGCAGUGAGAGGACGCGUCCACCGAAAGAGAAACCCUGGAAGGGCAAACGGUGCCGGAAAUGGGAGCUCUAAUGCUGGACGCGAGACACGGGAACCCCUAGGAAGAUACUGAAAAGAGGUCCCGGGAUACUGGUUCUGCAUCAGGUGUAACGGGCCGCCGUUUGAGCCGGGAGAUGGGAGCUGUCCCCAGGAGGCCCACUGCCACUGUGAUACCAUUUUGCCUGAGCACAGGGCGCGCUGGGUACCGUAACCCAGAUUCUUAUCCAUGCUCAGCUCGCCUGGACUGUGCUCAGGAAGCUCCCGCCUGCCCGCCCUCCCAUCCCCGCCCCCCGAAUGAACUGAGAGCCCCCAUUUCACUCCACAGAAAUACUCUUGUCCGAGAGCCGGAGGUCGGCCCGGAUGAACGAAGAAGCAGGAAAUACAGCGAAUCCCACUCAUCUCGACAUCAUUCCUGAGACAUCGUGAGCCUGACCCAGCCUGUAGACCAGCCAGGUGCUCCAGCCGCGGCGACCCCUGUAUUUCCCUGCGCGUUUCCACGACCUUGCUGCGUGAGGCUCCCCAAGACCACCCCCAGGUUUGGUGAUUCCCUCGGAGGACUCAGAGGACUCGGCAUAGAGUCGUACUCAAGGCUCUGUCCGUCGCCGCAGAGGGACACCAAGCAGAAUCAGCAAAAGAAAACAGCGGCGGGCACAGCCCAGGGAAACCAGCGGUGAGCCGAGUGCCCUCCAGGGGGAGUGCCACAGGACAUCGCCCAGCCGCCGAUCGCGACAGCACAUGUGCUGUGUGUCAACCAGGGCCACUCAUUAGAGGCUAAGGACCCAGGCUUCUCCUUUGCACACCCUCUGUCCUGGCACAUACGAACUUCCAGAGCCCCGGAAGGAAAGCUGGUGUUCAGCACAAGCCAGAUUGUUUGCACAAAUAGUUUACGCACAGGAGCCACUGUCACCACUUAGGGAGUGGUGGACACCCUCCUGAAGUGCGGGUUCCGGAGGCCAGCCCGGGGCCAGCCUUGCCAGCAGCGCUUUCCAAGGAGCGCCGUCUCAGGCCUGCUCUGGGAGCUCUUUUCUAAAUGAUUUCCCACAAACCUUACCCAGAAAGGGCUCCUGGAAACGCCAGGGAAGCGGAAGCCAGGCUGUGACCUGGAAGCUCUGUUUAGUUUACAUUUUCCUGGAAACCCUGGCCUGGACCGUGGUGACACCGCUUCUCCUUACACCGAGAGGCACGUUCUUUCCAUCUCGUUUCCACUUUCUUUGGCUGCAGGGGACACAGCAAAGUGGUCAGACCACAAAGGGUCCUGUCAGCCAAAGCCCACCCUCUCCUGGGAACCGAGUUGUAACUGGGCAUGUGGUGUCCGGGUGGCCUGCGUUUCUGAGGUUCCGUGUGUGUGUCUGAGGUCUUGCCUCUGAAGCCUACAAGAAGUGACGGGCUGCUUCUGGGUCUGGGUCUAAGGCUUAAGACUUUUUCCCCGUCCCCGCUGGCUGGUCCCCAGAGGCGCCAGCGACACAGCUUCAGCCACCCAGGUGGUGAAAUGCUGUAGUGACAGCACAAAACAAAGACGUAAGGAGUCGGGUUCCCUGAACAUCCUCUCCGAACAAGAGCGGCCUGGCAAGUGAGACAGAAAAUGUCCUUCUUUCUUUCUUUUUUUAAAUUCUUUGUUAUUUCCCCAAUACAAUUUUUCUUUUUUUUUUUUUUUUUGCUGUGCAGCAAGGUGACCCAGUUACACAUACAUGUAUAUAUUCUUUUUUCUCCCAUUAUCCUGCUCCGUCAUGAGCAACUAGACGUAGUUCUCAGGGCUCCACAGCAGGAAGAAAGCUGCCUUAUUUCUUCGUGCACUUUCUCCAUCCCCCGACUCAAACAGCGUGAUAGCACAAAAGGCAGGAUGUGCGCUCCCUCGGAAGAAGCACGUCGGGAGCUCCUGAGAUUCAGGAAUAUUUGUUUCUUAACCUGGUAUCAAAUACACACACACACUUUGGUAUGUAUCUAUGAGUCAUCUCACUGUUUUAAACAAAUUGCACACACCGUGAUGCCAAGGGUACCGCCCAGGGACCUCUGCCCAGACCUGAGUGAUGACCUGUAUGGGGAAAGAAUCGGAAAAGGACUGGCUGGAGGAUAGCUGAUUUACUUUGCUGUACACAAAGUACAGCACACACAACUUUCUAAGUCAGCUAUACGCCGAUAAAAUUUAUUUGAAAAAGUGAAAGACCCUUCCUCGGCGGCUGCUAAGGUGCUCGGUCCUUCCGAGGACGCUAAGGCCGCGUUGGGGUGAGGCCCUCACUUCAUCCGGCCACUGGCACCGUGCCCAGCAGCCCCCACCCAGCAUUCAUCCACACCGCGGCCUCCGUCCCCGGGGCUCGCCUGCGUCUCCUCUGCCCUCAGCCUGCAGGAUGAUGAGGUGACAGUCACGGAGGAUGAGAUCGAGGCUCUCAUGAAAGCAGCAGGUGUAAAUGCUGAGCCUUUCUGCCAGGCUUGUCUGCAAAGCUCUGGCCAGUGUCAACAUGGGGAGCCUCAUCUGCAGUGUGGGGGCUGGUGGACCUGCCCCCAGCAGCUGGUACUCCACCAGCAGGAAAUCCUGCCCCGGCCACCACUGCUGCCCCGGCUGAGGAGAAGAAAGUAGAAGCGAAGAAAGAAGAAUCUGAGGAGUCUGAUGAUGAUACGGGCUUUGGUCUUUUUGACUAAACUUCUAUAACACAUUCAAUAAUAAAAAGCUGAGCUCAUUAAAAAGAAAUAAAAAAUAAAGUGCUUGAAU